This 764-nucleotide ribosomal RNA is filed under the name Tegolophus cymbopogus. RNAcentral's name for it is "bacterial SSU rRNA". It matches the Rfam family "Eukaryotic small subunit ribosomal RNA", at positions 389 to 910 of the family's 1831-position model. The record is from RNAcentral. Lineage: Eukaryota; Metazoa; Arthropoda; Arachnida; Trombidiformes; Eriophyidae.
ACAAGCCUGAGAAACGGCUAGUAGGACUAAGGUCUGCAGCAGGCGCGAAACUUACACAAUGCUAGAUUACCUAUCAUAGCGAUGUAGUGAAGAAAAAUAACGAUGUGCUUGUAUCUACAAAUACUCGCACAAUUGGAAUGAGACGACUCUAAACCAGUCAGUCGAGUAACAAAUGGAGGGCAAGUCUGGUGCCAGCAGCCGCGGUAAUUCCAGCUCCAUUAGCAUACAUUAAAGUUGUUGCGGUUAAAAAGCUCGUAGUUGAAUUUUAGACGGGCUCUUGUGGGCUGCAACCGUUCAAGGCCUAAGUUGGUAGCUUCGGCUCCUCUCUGGCUGGCUGUAGUUCCCACUCGGAACCCGUUGUUUCGUCACUUAAUCGAGUGCGAAGCGGGCUGGCGCAUACGAAGCUUCUUACGAUUCUUCGUUUCGACAGCAAGUUUACCUUGAGAAAAUUAGAGUGCUCAGAGCAGGCAGUUGGGAUGUAAAAAUCUCUUUAUGCUUGAAUAAUGUUGCAUGGAAUAAUAGAAUACGGCCUCGGUUCUAUUCUGUUGGUCUUAUAGAACAACAAACAAGUUGGUUUAGGCGAUAACGGCUAACCCACGGUGUGGCUGGCGAUGUCGCUUUUGUUGUCUGGGGCCUAAAAAUCUCAGUACCUUAAGCGCGCGUCAACCAUCCUAAAGCACCGAGGGCACUAGUCAGCCUUCAAAUCAACUGAGGCAAUGGUUAAAAGAAAUAGUCGCGGCGGCAUCAGUACUGCAUCGUGAGAG